This 517-nucleotide ribosomal RNA is filed under the name uncultured bacterium. RNAcentral describes it as "bacterial SSU rRNA". It matches the Rfam family "Bacterial small subunit ribosomal RNA", at positions 28 to 513 of the family's 1533-position model. The record is from RNAcentral.
GACGAACGCUGGCGGCGUGCUUAACACAUGCAAGUCGAACGAGAGGAGAAGGAAGCUUGCUUCUUUCAAAUCUAGUGGCAAACGGGUGAGUAACACGUAAACAACCUGCCUUCAGGAUGGGGACAACAGACGGAAACGACUGCUAAUACCGAAUACGUUCCUUAGGUCGCAUGACUUUAGGAAGAAAGGGUGGCCUCUACUUGUAAGCUAUCGCCUGAAGAGGGGUUUGCGUCUGAUUAGGUAGUUGGUGGGGUAACGGCCUACCAAGUCGACGAUCAGUAGCCGGACUGAGAGGUUGAACGGCCACAUUGGGACUGAGACACGGUCCAGACUCCUACGGGAGGCAGCAGUGGGGAAUCUUCCGCAAUGGCGAAAGCCUGACGGAGCAACGCCGCGUGAGUGAAGAAGGUCUUCGGAUCGUAAAGCUCUGUUGUCGGGGGACGAAUGUUGAGACCUAGAACAUAGGUUUCAAAUGACGGUACCUGACGAGGAAGCCACGGCUAACUACGUGCCAGCA